UACAGAGGGUGCAAGCGUUAAUCGGAAUUACUGGGCGUAAAGGGUGCGUAGGUGGUUGAAUUAGUUAGGUGUGAAAGCCCCGGGCUUAACCUGGGAAUUGCGCCUAAUACUGUUUAGCUAGAGUACUGUAGAGGAAGGUGGAAUUUCCGGUGUAGCGGUGAAAUGCGUAGAUAUCGGAAGGAACAUCAGUGGCGAAGGCGACUUUCUGGACAGAUACUGACACUGAGGCACGAAAGCAUGGGGAGCAAACAGG
This 253-nucleotide ribosomal RNA is filed under the name uncultured bacterium. Its description in RNAcentral is "partial 16S ribosomal RNA". It matches the Rfam family "Bacterial small subunit ribosomal RNA", at positions 524 to 776 of the family's 1533-position model. The record is from RNAcentral.